GAAAUGCGAUAAGUAAUGUGAACUGCAGAAUUCAGUGAAUCAUCGAAUCUUUGAACGCACCUUGCGCUCCUUGGUAUUCCUUGGAGCAUGCCUGUUUGAGUAUCAUGAAAUCUUCAAAGUAAAUCUUUUGUUAACUCAAUUGGUUUCCACUUUGGUAUUGGAGGUCUUUGCAGCUUCACACCUGCUCCUCUUUGUUCAUUAGCUGGAUCUCAGUGUUAUGCUUGGUUCCACUCGGCGUGAUAAGUUAUCUAUCGCUGAGGACACUGUAAAAGGUGGCCAAGGUAAAUGCAGAUGAACCGCUUCUAAUAGUCCAUUGACUUGGACAAUACUUUUAUGAUCUGAUCUCAAAUCAGGUAGGACUACCCGCUGAACUUAAGC
Molecule: unclassified non-coding RNA, 378 nt
Filed under: plant metagenome
Description: partial contains 5.8S ribosomal RNA, internal transcribed spacer 2, and large subunit ribosomal RNA
Rfam family: 5.8S ribosomal RNA (bases 1-105)
Source: RNAcentral